This 253-nucleotide ribosomal RNA is filed under the name uncultured bacterium. Its description in RNAcentral is "partial 16S ribosomal RNA". It matches the Rfam family "Bacterial small subunit ribosomal RNA", at positions 524 to 776 of the family's 1533-position model. The record is from RNAcentral.
UACGUAGGGGGCUAGCGUUGUCCGGAAUCAUUGGGCGUAAAGAGCGCGUAGGCGGCCAGAUAAGUCCGGUGUGAAAGUCAAAGGCUCAACCUUUGAAUGCCGCUGGAAACUGUCUGGCUAGAGUCCGGGAGGGGCGAGUGGAAUUCCUGGUGUAGCGGUGAAAUGCGCAGAUAUCAGGUGGAACACCAAUGGCGAAGGCAGCUCGCUGGACUCAUACUGACACUGAGGUGCGAAAGCGUGGGGAGCAAACAGG